Molecule: ribosomal RNA, 255 nt
Filed under: uncultured bacterium
Lineage: Bacteria
Description: partial 16S ribosomal RNA
Rfam family: Bacterial small subunit ribosomal RNA
Source: RNAcentral
UACGUAGGCAGCGAGCGUUGUUCGGAGUUACUGGGCGUAAAGGGUGCGCAGGCGGUGGAGCAAGUCUGUUGUGAAAUCUCCCGGCUUAACCGGGAGGGUGCGGCGGAAACUGUUCUGCUGGAGUGAGGGAGAGGCAAGCGGAAUUCCUGGUGUAGCGGUGAAAUGCGUAGAUAUCGCUUGGAACGCCGAAGGUGAAAACAGGCUGCUGGGGUUGCGCCGGACGCUGAGACACGAAAGCCAGGGGAGCAAACGGGG